GACGAACGCUGGCGGCGUGCUUAACACAUGCAAGUCACGGGGGCCCAGCAAUGGGUAACCGGCGAACGGGUGCGUAACACGUGAGCAACCUGCCGAUCUGAGGGGGAUAGCCGGCCCAACGGCCGGGUAAUACCGCAUACGGUUUCUAUGGGACAUCCUGUGGGAACGAAACCUCCGGGGCAGAUCGAGGGGCUCGCGGCCUAUCAGCUAGUUGGUGGGGUAACGGCCCACCAAGGCGACGACGGGUAGCNGGUCUGAGAGGAUGGCCAGCCACAUUGGGACUGAGAGACGGCCCAGACUCCUACGGGAGGCAGCAGUGGGGAAUCUUGCGCAAUGGCCGAAAGGCUGACGCAGCGACGCCGCGUGUGGGAUGAAGCAUUUCGGUGUGUAAACCACUGUUGCCCGGGACGAACACC
Molecule: ribosomal RNA, 416 nt
Filed under: uncultured bacterium
Lineage: Bacteria
Description: bacterial SSU rRNA
Rfam family: Bacterial small subunit ribosomal RNA
Source: RNAcentral